ACGUAAAGCGAGCGCAGCGUUUUUUAAGUCUGAUGUGAAAGCCCUCGGCUUAACCGAGGAAGCGCAUCGGAAACUGGGAAACUUGAGUGCAGAAGAGGACAGUGGAACUCCAUGUGUAGCGGUGAAAUGCGUAGAUAUAUGGAAGAACACCAGUGGCGAAGGCGGCUGUCUGGUCUGUAACUGACGCUGAGGCUCGAAAGCAUGGGUAGCGAACAGGAUUAGAUACCCUGGUAGUCCAUGCCGUAAACGAUGAAUGCUAGGUGUUGGAGGGUUUCCGCCCUUCAGUGCCGCAGCUAACGCAUUAAGCAUUCCGCCUGGGGAGUACGACCGCAAGGUUGAAACUCAAAGGAAUUGACGGGGGCCCGCACAAGCGGUGGAGCAUGUGGUUUAAUUCGAAGCAACGCGAAGAACCUUACCAGGUCUUGACAUCUUUUGAUCACCUGAGAGAUCAGGUUUCCCCUUCGGGGGCAAAAUGACAGGUGGUGCAUGGUUGUCGUCAGCUCGUGUCGUGAGAUGUUGGGUUAAGUCCCGCAACGAGCGCAACCCUUAUGACUAGUUGCCAGCAUUUAGUUGGGCACUCUAGUAAGACUGCCGGUGACAAACCGGAGGAAGGUGGGGAUGACGUCAAAUCAUCAUGCCCCUUAUGACCUGGGCUACACACGUGCUACAAUGGAUGGUACAACGAGUUGCGAGACCGCGAGGUCAAGCUAAUCUCUUAAAGCCAUUCUCAGUUCGGACUGUAGGCUGCAACUCGCCUACACGAAGUCGGAAUCGCUAGUAAUCGCGGAUCAGCACGCCGCGGUGAAUACGUUCCCGGGCCUUGUACACACCGCCCGUCACACCAUGAGAGUUUGUAACACCCGAAGCCGGUGGCGUAACCCUUUUAGGGAGCGAGCCGUCUAAGGUGGGACAAAUGAUUAGGGUGAAGUCGUAACA
This 936-nucleotide ribosomal RNA is filed under the name Lacticaseibacillus casei. Its description in RNAcentral is "bacterial SSU rRNA". It matches the Rfam family "Bacterial small subunit ribosomal RNA", at positions 558 to 1493 of the family's 1533-position model. The record is from RNAcentral. Lineage: Bacteria; Bacillati; Bacillota; Bacilli; Lactobacillales; Lactobacillaceae.